This 238-nucleotide unclassified non-coding RNA is filed under the name Hevea brasiliensis (rubber tree). Lineage: Eukaryota; Viridiplantae; Streptophyta; Magnoliopsida; Malpighiales; Euphorbiaceae. The record is from RNAcentral.
GUUCAGUGCCAUGGAAGUUGAGACUCUGGUGCGGUACCAGUUGCCAGUGAUUGUGAUAGUUUUUAACAAUGGCGGUGUAUAUGGUGGCGACCGGAGAACACCACAAGAAAUUACCGGACCUUAUAAGCACGAUCCUGCACCAACCUCCUUUGUCCCAUCAGCAAAUUAUCACAAAAUGAUUGAGGCUUUUGGAGGUAAAGGAUACUAUGUUGAAACACCCGAGGAACUAAAAUCUGCA